GGCUCGUUGGUCUAGGGGUAUGAUUCUCGCUUAGGGUCCGAGAGGUCACGAGUUUAAUUCCCGGACGAGCCC
Non-coding RNA from Danionella cerebrum, 72 nucleotides. NCBI's taxonomy places the organism in Eukaryota, Metazoa, Chordata, Actinopteri, Cypriniformes, Danionidae. The record is from the annotation of a GenBank genome assembly.